UGUAGUCAUAUGCUUGUCUCAAAGAUUAAGCCAUGCAUGUCUAAGUAUAAGCAAUUAUACCGCGAAACUGCGAAUGGCUCAUUAAAUCAGUUAUCGUUUAUUUGAUAGUACCUUACUACUUGGAUAACCGUGGUAAUUCUAGAGCUAAUACAUGCUAAAAAUCCCGACUUCGGAAGGGAUGUAUUUAUUAGAUUAAAAACCAAUGCCCUUCGGGGCUCACUGGUGAUUCAUAAUAACUUCUCGAAUCGCAUGGCCUUGCGCCGGCGAUGGUUCAUUCAAAUUUCUGCCCUAUCAACUUUCGACGGCUGGGUCUUGGCCAGCCAUGGUGACAACGGGUAACGGAGGGUUAGGGCUCGACCCCGGAGAAGGAGCCUGAGAAACGGCUACUACAUCCAAGGAAGGCAGCAGGCGCGCAAAUUACCCAAUCCCGACGCGGGGAGGUAGUGACAAUAAAUACUGAUACAGGGCUCUUUUGGGUCUUGUAAUUGGAAUGAGUACAAUUUAAAUCCCUUAACGAGGAACAAUUGGAGGGCAAGUCUGGUGCCAGCAGCCGCGGUAAUUCCAGCUCCAAUAGCGUAUAUUAAAGUUGUUGCAGUUAAAAAGCUCGUAGUUGAACCUUGGGCCUGGCUGGCCGGUCCGCCUCACCGCGUGCACUGGUCCGGCCGGGCCUUUCCCUCUGGGGAACCGCAUGCCCUUCACUGGGUGUGCUGGGGAACCAGGACUUUUACUUUGAAAAAAUUAGAGUGUUCAAAGCAGGCCUAUGCUCGAAUACAUUAGCAUGGAAUAAUAGAAUAGGACGUGUGGUUCUAUUUUGUUGGUUUCUAGGACCGCCGUAAUGAUUAAUAGGGACAGUCGGGGGCAUCAGUAUUCAAUUGUCAGAGGUGAAAUUCUUGGAUUUAUUGAAGACUAACUACUGCGAAAGCAUUUGCCAAGGAUGUUUUCAUUAAUCAGGAACGAAAGUUAGGGGAUCGAAGACGAUCAGAUACCGUCGUAGUCUUAACCAUAAACUAUGCCGACCAGGGAUCGGACGAUGUUAUUUUUUGACUCGUUCGGCACCUUACACGAAAGUACAAGUUUCUGGGUUCUGGGGGGAGUAUGGUCGCAAGGCUGAAACUUAAAGG
Molecule: ribosomal RNA, 1121 nt
Filed under: Bullimyces aurisporus
Lineage: Eukaryota; Fungi; Ascomycota; Sordariomycetes
Description: SSU rRNA
Rfam family: Eukaryotic small subunit ribosomal RNA
Source: RNAcentral